AGUGAACGCUGGCGGUAGGCCUAACACAUGCAAGUCGAACGGCAGCACAGUAAGAGCUUGCUCUUACGGGUGGCGAGUGGCGGACGGGUGAGGAAUACAUCGGAAUCUACUUUUUCGUGGGGGAUAACGUAGGGAAACUUACUCUAAUACCGCAUACGACCUACGGGUGAAAUCAGGGGAUCUUCGGACCUUUCGCGAUUGAAUGAGCCGAUGUCGGAUUAGCUAGUUGGCGGGGUAAAGGCCCACCAAGGCGACGAUCCGUAGCUGGUCUGAGAGGAUGAUCAGCCACACUGGAACUGAGACACGGUCCAGACUCCUACGGGAGGCAGCAGUGGGGAAUAUUGGACAAUGGGCGCAAGCCUGAUCCAGCCAUACCGCGUGGGUGAAGAAGGCCUUCGGGUUGUAAAGCCCUUUUGUUGGGAAAGAAAAGCAGCAGGUUAAUACCCCGCUGUUCUGACGGUACCCAAAGAAUAAGCACCGGCUAACUUCGUG
RNAcentral lists this ribosomal RNA (492 nucleotides) under uncultured bacterium. RNAcentral's name for it is "partial 16S ribosomal RNA". It matches the Rfam family "Bacterial small subunit ribosomal RNA", at positions 29 to 507 of the family's 1533-position model. The record is from RNAcentral.